RNAcentral lists this transfer RNA (76 nucleotides) under Kocuria rhizophila. RNAcentral describes it as "tRNA-Arg". It matches the Rfam family "tRNA". From Rfam's summary of the family: Transfer RNA (tRNA) molecules are approximately 80 nucleotides in length. Their secondary structure includes four short double-helical elements and three loops (D, anti-codon, and T loops). Further hydrogen bonds mediate the characteristic L-shaped molecular structure. tRNAs have two regions of fundamental functional importance: the anti-codon, which is responsible for specific mRNA codon recognition, and the 3' end, to which the tRNAs corresponding amino acid is attached (by aminoacyl-tRNA synthetases). tRNAs cope with the degeneracy of the genetic code in two manners: having more than one tRNA (with a specific anti-codon) for a particular amino acid; and 'wobble' base-pairing, i.e. permitting non-standard base-pairing at the 3rd anti-codon position. The record is from RNAcentral. Lineage: Bacteria; Bacillati; Actinomycetota; Actinomycetes; Micrococcales; Micrococcaceae. RNAcentral also lists the same sequence under 8 other names.
GCCCGCGUAGCUCAGUGGAUAGAGCGUCUGCCUCCGGAGCAGAAGGUCGUAGGUUCGAAUCCUGUCGCGGGCACAA